RNAcentral lists this ribosomal RNA (481 nucleotides) under uncultured bacterium. RNAcentral's name for it is "bacterial SSU rRNA". It matches the Rfam family "Bacterial small subunit ribosomal RNA", at positions 31 to 507 of the family's 1533-position model. The record is from RNAcentral.
GAACGCUGGCGGCGUGCUUAACACAUGCAAGUCGAACGAAGCAUUUAGAACAGAUUACUUCGGUUUGAAGUUCUUUAUGACUGAGUGGCGGACGGGUGAGUAACGCGUGGGUAACCUGCCUUGUACUGGGGGAUAGCAGCUGGAAACGGCUGGUAAUACCGCAUAAGCGCACAAUGUUGCAUGACAUAGUGUGAAAAACUCCGGUGGUAUAAGAUGGACCCGCGUCUGAUUAGUUAGUUGGCGGGGUAACGGCCCACCAAGACCGCGAUCGGUAGCCGACCUGAGAGGGUGACCGGCCACAUUGGGACUGAGACACGGCCCAGACUCCUACGGGAGGCAGCAGUGGGGAAUAUUGCACAAUGGAGGAAACUCUGAUGCAGCGACGCCGCGUGAGUGAAGAAGUAUUUCGGUAUGUAAAGCUCUAUCAGCAGGGAAGAAAAAAAUGACGGUACCUGACUAAGAAGCCCCGGCUAACUACGUG